This 447-nucleotide ribosomal RNA is filed under the name uncultured bacterium. RNAcentral describes it as "partial 16S ribosomal RNA". It matches the Rfam family "Bacterial small subunit ribosomal RNA", at positions 29 to 523 of the family's 1533-position model. The record is from RNAcentral.
AACGAACGCUGGCGGCAGGCUUAACACAUGCAAGUCGAGCGCCUCGCAAGAGGAGCGGCAGACGGGUGAGUAACGCGUGGGAAUCUACCGUGCUCUACGGAAUAGCUCCGGGAAACUGGAAUUAAUACCGUAUACGCCCUUCGGGGGAAAGAUUUAUCGGGGUAUGAUGAGCCCGCGUUGGAUUAGCUAGUUGGUGGGGUAAAGGCCUACCAAGGCGACGAUCCAUAGCUGGUCUGAGAGGAUGAUCAGCCACAUUGGGACUGAGACACGGCCCAAACUCCUACGGGAGGCAGCAGUGGGGAAUAUUGGACAAUGGGCGCAAGCCUGAUCCAGCCAUGCCGCGUGAGUGAUGAAGGCCCUAGGGUUGUAAAGCUCUUUCACCGGUGAAGAUAAUGACGGUAACCGGAGAAGAAGCCCCGGCUAACUUCGUGCCAGCAGCCGCGGUAA